Molecule: long non-coding RNA, 80 nt
Organism: Neogale vison (American mink)
Lineage: Eukaryota; Metazoa; Chordata; Mammalia; Carnivora; Mustelidae
Exons: 2
Source: RefSeq, a predicted model, not a curated record
GCGGCAGCUGCAGCUCCAGGGAGGGCCAGCAACUGAGGAAGGGCAGAGAAGGCCAGAAUGACCAGAGAACCUGCUGUAGA